GGGCGUAAAGCGUGGCAAGCGGUGANUAAGNCNAAACUAAUUGCCGNGGGUUCAACAAGNGAAGGNACCCAAACNNACAGGNNUNANUNNAACUAGAAGGAGGUGCNNAAACUCAUAUGGAAUUGACGGCACUCAAUGCAGUUGCCGAAACUCAAAUGAAUUGACGGAACUCAAAUGAGUUGCCGAAACUUAAAUGAAUUGACGGAACUCAAAUGAAUUGACGAAACUCAAAGGAAUUGACGGAACUCAAAUGAAUUGACGAAACUUAAAUGAAUUGACGGAACUCAAAUGAAUUGACGAAACUUAAANGAAUUGACGGAACUCAAAUGAAUUGACGAAACUUAAAUGAAUUGACGGAACUUCAGUGAAUUNNCCUAACUUAANGAAUUGCCAUGACCGGGUGUUUG
RNAcentral lists this ribosomal RNA (407 nucleotides) under uncultured bacterium. RNAcentral describes it as "partial 16S ribosomal RNA". The record is from RNAcentral.